This 141-nucleotide ribosomal RNA is filed under the name uncultured eukaryote. Its description in RNAcentral is "partial 18S ribosomal RNA". It matches the Rfam family "Eukaryotic small subunit ribosomal RNA", at positions 1299 to 1458 of the family's 1831-position model. The record is from RNAcentral.
UGGUGGAGCGAUUUGUCUGGUCAAUUCCGAUAACGAACGAGACUCUAGCCUACUAAAUAGUUCGGGGACCCCCACAAAGGGGCCCGCUUAAAAUUAUUGGAGGGACAGGUGGCGUUUGGCACUCGAGAUUGAGCAAUAACA